GAUGAACGCUGGCGGCGUGCCUAAUACAUGCAAGUCGAGCGAACGGACGAGAAGCUUGCUUCUCUGAUGUUAGCGGCGGACGGGUGAGUAACACGUGGAUAACCUACCUAUAAGACUGGGAUAACUUCGGGAAACCGGAGCUAAUACCGGAUAAUAUUUUGAACCGCAUGGUUCAAAAGUGAAAGACGGUCUUGCUGUCACUUAUAGAUGGAUCCGCGCUGCAUUAGCUAGUUGGUAAGGUAACGGCUUACCAAGGCAACGAUGCAUAGCCGACCUGAGAGGGUGAUCGGCCUCACUGGAACUGAGACACGGUCCAGACUCCUACGGGAGGCAGCAGUAGGGAAUCUUCCGCAAUGGGCGAAAGCCUGACGGAGCAACGCCGCGUGAGUGAUGAAGGUCUUCGGAUCGUAAAACUCUGUUAUUAGGGAAGAACAUAUGUGUAAGUAACUGUGCACAUCUUGACGGUACCUAAUCAGAAAGCCACGGCUAACUACGUGCCAGCAGCCGCGGUAAUACGUAGGUGGCAAGCGUUAUCCGGAAUUAUUGGGCGUAAAGCGCGCGUAGGCGGUUUUUUAAGUCUGAUGUGAAAGCCCACGGCUCAACCGUGGAGGGUCAUUGGAAACUGGAAAACUUGAGUGCAGAAGAGGAAAGUGGAAUUCCAUGUGUAGCGGUGAAAUGCGCAGAGAUAUGGAGGAACACCAGUGGCGAAGGCGACUUUCUGGUCUGUAACUGACGCUGAUGUGCGAAAGCGUGGGGAUCAAACAGGAUUAGAUACCCUGGUAGUCCACGCCGUAAACGAUGAGUGCUAAGUGUUAGGGGGUUUCCGCCCCUUAGUGCUGCAGCUAACGCAUUAAGCACUCCGCCUGGGGAGUACGACCGCAAGGUUGAAACUCAAAGGAAUUGACGGGGACCCGCACAAGCGGUGGAGCAUGUGGUUUAAUUCGAAGCAACGCGAAGAACCUUACCAAAUCUUGACAUCCUUUGACAACUCUAGAGAUAGAGCCUUCCCCUUCGGGGGACAAAGUGACAGGUGGUGCAUGGUUGUCGUCAGCUCGUGUCGUGAGAUGUUGGGUUAAGUCCCGCAACGAGCGCAACCCUUAAGCUUAGUUGCCAUCAUUAAGUUGGGCACUCUAAGUUGACUGCCGGUGACAAACCGGAGGAAGGUGGGGAUGACGUCAAAUCAUCAUGCCCCUUAUGAUUUGGGCUACACACGUGCUACAAUGGACAAUACAAAGGGCAGCGAAACCGCGAGGUCAAGCAAAUCCCAUAAAAUUGUUCUCAGUUCGGAUUGUAGUCUGCAACUCGACUACAUGAAGCUGGAAUCGCUAGUAAUCGUAGAUCAGCAUGCUACGGUGAAUACGUUCCCGGGUCU
This 1372-nucleotide ribosomal RNA is filed under the name uncultured bacterium. RNAcentral describes it as "bacterial SSU rRNA". It matches the Rfam family "Bacterial small subunit ribosomal RNA", at positions 28 to 1381 of the family's 1533-position model. The record is from RNAcentral.